GCGUAAGCGCACGCAGGCGGUCUGUCAAGUCGGAUGUGAAAUCCCCGGGCUCAACCUGGGAACUGCAUUCGAAACUGGCAGGCUAGAGUCUUGUAGAGGGGGGUAGAAUUCCAGGUGUAGCGGUGAAAUGCGUAGAGAUCUGGAGGAAUACCGGUGGCGAAGGCGGCCCCCUGGACAAAGACUGACGCUCAGGUGCGAAAGCGUGGGGAGCAAACAGGAUUAGAUACCCUGGUAGUCCACGCCGUAAACGAUGUCGACUUGGAGGUUGUGCCCUUGAGGCGUGGCUUCCGGAGCUAACGCGUUAAGUCGACCGCCUGGGGAGUACGGCCGCAAGGUUAAAACUCAAAUGAAUUGACGGGGGCCCGCACAAGCGGUGGAGCAUGUGGUUUAAUUCGAUGCAACGCGAAGAACCUUACCUACUCUUGACAUCCAGAGAACUUUCCAGAGAUGGAUUGGUGCCUUCGGGAACUCUGAGACAGGUGCUGCAUGGCUGUCGUCAGCUCGUGUUGUGAAAUGUUGGGUUAAGUCCCGCAACGAGCGCAACCCUUAUCCUUUGUUGCCAGCGGUCAGGCCGGGAACUCAAAGGAGACUGCCAGU
RNAcentral lists this ribosomal RNA (597 nucleotides) under Enterobacter asburiae. RNAcentral's name for it is "bacterial SSU rRNA". It matches the Rfam family "Bacterial small subunit ribosomal RNA", at positions 558 to 1156 of the family's 1533-position model. The record is from RNAcentral. Lineage: Bacteria; Pseudomonadati; Pseudomonadota; Gammaproteobacteria; Enterobacterales; Enterobacteriaceae.